This 492-nucleotide ribosomal RNA is filed under the name uncultured bacterium. Its description in RNAcentral is "partial 16S ribosomal RNA". It matches the Rfam family "Bacterial small subunit ribosomal RNA", at positions 29 to 507 of the family's 1533-position model. The record is from RNAcentral.
AGUGAACGCUGGCGGUAGGCCUAACACAUGCCAGUCGAACGGCAGCACAGUAAGAGCUUGCUCUUACGGGUGGCGAGUGGCGGACGGGUGAGGAAUACAUCGGAAUCUACUUUUUCGUGGGGGAUAACGUAGGGAAACUUACGCUAAUACCGCAUACGACCUACGGGUGAAAGCAGGGGAUCUUCGGACCUUGCGCGAUUGAAUGAGCCGAUGUCGGAUUAGCUAGUUGGCGGGGUAAAGGCCCACCAAGGCGACGAUCCGUAGCUGGUCUGAGGGGAUGAUCAGCCGCACUGGAACUGAGACACGGUCCAGACUCCUACGGGAGGCAGCAGUGGGGAAUAUUGGACAAUGGGCGCAAGCCUGAUCCAGCCAUACCGCGUGGGUGAAGAAGGCCUUCGGGUUGUAAAGCCCUUUUGUUGGGAAAGAAAAGCAGCAGGUUAAUACCCCGCUGUUCUGACGGUACCCAAAGAAUAAGCACCGGCUAACUUCGUG